UGAGUACGAGAUGCUACGGCAUCGAAGCAGUCUAUGUCAUACUUCCAAGAAAAGCUUGCAAUGUCAUAAACAAAUAAUGCCUGUACCAUAACCGACACAGGUGGGUAGGUAGAGUAUACUAAGGGGCGCGAGAUAACUCUCUCUAAGGAACUCGGCAAAAUGACUCCGUAACUUCGGGAGAAGGAGUGCCUUAUUUUUAUAAGGUUGCAAUAACAAGAUCCAAGCAACUGUUUACCAAAAACACAGGUCUCCGCUAAGUCGUAAGACGAUGUAUGGGGGCUGACGCCUGCCCAGUGCCAGAAGGUUAAAGAAGUUGGUUAGCAUUAGCGAAGCUGAUAACUGAAGCCCUGGUGAACGGCGGCCGUAACAAUAACGGUCCUAAGUUAGCGAAAUUCCUUGUCGGGUAAGUUCCGACCCGCACGAAAGGCGUAAUGAUUUGGAUACUGUCUCGGAGAGGGGCUCGGUGAAAUAGACUUGUCUGUGAAGAUGCGGACUACCUGCACCUGGACAGAAAGACCCUAUGAAGCUUUACUGUAACUUGAGAUUGAAAUUGGACUUUAUCUGCGCAGUAUAGGUGGGAGACGUUGAAAAUAUUCUUGCGGGAAUAUUGGAGUCAUCAGUGAGAUACCACUCUUAUAAUGUUAGAUUUCUAACUUUGUAUCAUUAUCUGGUCAAAGAACAGUUUCAGGCGGGCAGUUUGACUGGGGCGGUCGCCUCCCAAACGGUAACGGAGGCGCACAAAGGUUUCCUCUGAACGUGUAGAAAUCGUAUCUAGAGUGUAAAGGCAUAAGGAAGCUUGACUGUGAGACCUACAAGUCGAGCAGGGACGAAAGUCGGUCUUAGUGAUCUGACGGUGCUGAGUGGAAAGGCCGUCACUCAACGGAUAAAAGUUACUCUAAGGAUAACAGGCUGAUCUCCCCCAAGAGUUCACAUCGACGGGGAGGUUUGGCACCUCGAUGUCGGCUCAUCGCAUCCUGGGGCGGUAGUACGUCCCAAGGGUUGGGCUGUUCGCCCAUGAAAGCGGUACGCGAGCUGGGUUCAGAACGUCGUGAGACAGUUCGGUCCAUAUCCGGUGUAGGCGUUAGAAUAUUGAGAGGAGCCUUCUUUAGUACGAGAGGACCGAGAAGGACAUACCUCUGGUGUACCAGUUAUCGUGCCAACGGUAAACGCUGGGUAGCCAUGUAUGGAGAGGAUAACCGCUGAAAGCAUCUAAGUGGGAAGCCCACCUCAAGAUAAGUAUUCUCA
Molecule: ribosomal RNA, 1245 nt
Filed under: metagenome
Description: bacterial LSU rRNA
Rfam family: Bacterial large subunit ribosomal RNA
Source: RNAcentral